RNAcentral lists this ribosomal RNA (1721 nucleotides) under metagenome. RNAcentral's name for it is "bacterial LSU rRNA". It matches the Rfam family "Bacterial large subunit ribosomal RNA", at positions 1116 to 2925 of the family's 2925-position model. The record is from RNAcentral.
CCACUCAUUAAAAGAGUGCGUAAUAGCUCACUGGUCGAGUGACUCUGCGCCGAAAAUUUAACGGGGCUAAACUAUACACCGAAGCUUGGGAUACAUCUAAUGUAUGGUAGGAGAGCGUUCUGUAUGGGGAGAAGUCGUAGCGAAAGCGGCGGUGGACUGUACAGAAGUGAGAAUGCCGGAAUAAGUAGCGAGAAUUAAGUGAGAAUCUUAAUGGCCGAAAGUCUAAGGUUUUUGGAGGAAGGUUCGUCCGCUCCAAGUAAGUCGGGAGCUAAGGUCAGGCCGAAAGGCGUAGCCGAUGCACAUACGGUUGAUAUUCCGUAACCAUCUGUAAUUUAAGCAAAGGGACACUUCAAAAGGGUGUGACCCGGGCGUUGGUUGACCCGGGCGUAAGGGACCGAAAUUAGAGUAGGGAAGCACACUUGGCUGAAGGCGAGAAAAGCUUUGCGUAUAGAAACAGAUGCCCGUACCGCAAACCGACACAGGUGGACAGGAAGAGAAUUCUAAGGCCAGCGGGAGAAGGGUAGUUAAGGAACUCGGCAAAUUGACUCCGUAACUUCGGAAUAAGGAGUGCUCGAAAGAGCCGCAGAGAAUAGGCCCAGGCGACUGUUUAGCAAAAACACAGGUCUCUGCCAAAUCGAAAGAUGAAGUAUAGGGGCUGACACCUGCCCGGUGCCGGAAGGUUAAGAGGAGGAGUGAGAGCUCCGAAUUGAAGCCCCGGUAAACGGCGGCCGUAACUAUAACGGUCCUAAGGUAGCGAAAUUCCUUGUCGGGUAAGUUCCGACCCGCACGAAUGGUGUAACGAUCUGGGCACUGUCUCAACUACCCACCCGGCGAAAUUGUAGUACCGGUGAAGAUGCCGGUUACCUGCGGCAAGACGGAAAGACCCCAUGGAGCUUUACUGUAGCCUGAUAUUGGGUUUCGGAAAUCUAUGUACAGGAUAGGCGGGAGACUGGGAAACAUGAGCGUCAGCUUGUGUGGAGUCGAUGUUGGGAUACCGCCCUUAGGUUUCUGGAAUUCUAACCUGCGGCCGUGAAUCCGGUCGGGGGACAUUGUCAGGUGGGCAGUUUGACUGGGGCGGUCGCCUCCGAAAAGGUAACGGAGGCGCUCAAAGGUUAGCUCAGCACGGACGGAAACCGUGCCUCUGAGUGUAAACGCAAAAGCUAGCCUAACUGCGAGGGUGACGGCCCGAGCAGUAACGAAAGUUGGAGUUAGUGAUCCGGCGGUAUGUGAAUGGAAAUGCCGUCGCUCAACGGAUAAAAGCUACCCUGGGGAUAACAGGCUGAUCUCCCCCAAGAGUCCACAUCGACGGGGAGGUUUGGCACCUCGAUGUCGGCUCAUCACAUCCUGGGGCUGUAUUCGGUCCCAAGGGUUCGGCUGUUCGCCGAUUAAAGUGGUACGCGAGCUGGGUUCAGAACGUCGCGAGACAGUUCGGUCCCUAUCUGUCGUGGGCGCAGGAUAUUUGAGGAGCUCUGUCCUUAGUACGAGAGGACCGGGAUGGACGUACCUCUGGUGCACCAGUUGUCAUGCCAAUGGCACGGCUGGGCAGCUAUGUACGGAACGGAUAAACGCUGAAAGCAUCUAAGCGUGAAGCCGACUCCAAGAUUAGAUAUCCCAUCGUAUAACGAGUAAGACCCCUUGAAGACUACGAGGUUGAUAGGCUGCGUGUGUAAGUGCCGUGAGGCAUUCAGCUUGGCAGUACUAAUAGGUCGAGGGCUUGACCA